AGAGUGGAGAGGAAAUGGGAGAUGGUUACGCUUCCGAAAAGCACCUUUCAGAUUAUGCCUUCAGAGCUAAUGAUGGCACACACCUGCUAAGGAAGACUGGCUGCAGAAUGUCUCUGAUUCCCCAGCACACACCCAUGGGGGUUUCGCUCUGUUGCCCAGGCUGGAGCGCAGCGGCAUGAUCUCGGCUCACUGCAACCUCCACCUCCCGGGUUCAAGUGAUUCUUCUGCCUCAGCCACCAAGGCGGGCGUCCCAAAGUGCUGGGAUUACAGGUGUGAGCCACUGCACCUGGCUUAGAAAUCUUUUCAUUCUUUCAACAUGAAUCCUGCUCUUAGAAUCACAGAGUACAAAGCUUCCUGGUACAGGUGGGGAAACUGAGGCUCCGAGUUGCCUAUCUGAUUCUGAGGACACAGCACCCCCCACCAGCACACCUGGCACUUGCUUUGUAUAUUAGUGUCAUUCGGCACAAGUUAGUGGAAAAUAAAAGCAUAAUAUAUAGCUACAUUGAUAAUAUUUGAUAGUAUUUAUUGAAUGGUGACUGUAUAUUAGCCUCUGGCCUAUCUCCACACAACUAAUUACUAACAGAACUGGGAUUGGAGCUCUCAUUCCCUAGACUAGUGGUUGGCAAACUAUAGGCCUGAAGGCCAAAUGUGGGCCACCACCUGUUUUUAUAAAUAAAGUUUUAUUGGAACACAGCCAUACCAUUCAUUUACAUAUUCUCUGGCUCCUUUUGCAAAAUUAAGUAGGUACAAAGCCAACUGUGUGGUCUGGAAAGUUGAAAAUAUUUAGCUGGCCCUUUACAGAACAUGUCUGCUGAACCUUGUCCUAGAUUAUAAUUUUUUCAAGGCCAGAGACCAUGUCUAAUUUUUUUUUUUUUUGACAGAGCCUCACUCUGUGGCUCAGGCUGGAGUACGGUGGCAUGAUCUCUGCUUACUGCAGCCUUGACCUCCUGGGCUCAGGUGAUUCUCCUGCCUCGGCCUUCUGAGUAGCUGGGACUAGAGGUGUGCGCCACCAUGUCCGGCUAUUUUUUUUUUUUUUU
This 1037-nucleotide long non-coding RNA is filed under the name Homo sapiens (human). RNAcentral's name for it is "HSALNT0370341". The record is from RNAcentral. Lineage: Eukaryota; Metazoa; Chordata; Mammalia; Primates; Hominidae.